Molecule: unclassified non-coding RNA, 335 nt
Filed under: soil metagenome
Description: partial contains 5.8S ribosomal RNA, internal transcribed spacer 2, and large subunit ribosomal RNA
Rfam family: 5.8S ribosomal RNA (bases 1-120)
Source: RNAcentral
GAUGAAGAACGCAGUGAAAUGCGAUAAGUAAUGUGAAUUGCAGAAUUCAGUGAAUCAUCGAAUCUUUGAACGCACAUUGCGCCCGCCAGUAUUCUGGCGGGCAUGCCUGUUCGAGCGUCAUUUCAACCAUCAAGCCCCAGGCUUGUGUUGGGGACCUGCGGCUGCCGCAGGCCCUGAAAACCAGUGGCGGGCUCGCUGUCACACCGGGCGUAGUAGAUUUUAUCUCGCUCUGGGCGUGCUGCGGGUUCCGGCCGUUAAAAAACCCUUUUAACCCAAGGUUGACCUCGGAUCAGGUAGGAAUACCCGCUGAACUUAAGCAUAUCAAUAACGGAGGA